This 253-nucleotide ribosomal RNA is filed under the name uncultured bacterium. Its description in RNAcentral is "partial 16S ribosomal RNA". It matches the Rfam family "Bacterial small subunit ribosomal RNA", at positions 524 to 776 of the family's 1533-position model. The record is from RNAcentral.
UACGUAGGAUGCAAGCGUUGUCCGGAAUUAUUGGGCGUAAAGAGCUCGUAGGCGGUUUGUCGCGUCUGCUGUGAAAACCCGGGGCUCAACCCCGGGCCUGCAUUCGAUACGGGCAGACUAGAGUUCGGUAGGGGAGUCUGGAAUUCCUGGUGUAGCGGUGAAAUGCGCAGAUAUCAGGAGGAACACCGGUGGCGAAGGCGGGACUCUGGGCCGAUACUGACGCUGAGGAGCGAAAGCGUGGGGAGCAAACAGG